CCUGAGAAACCCAAAAGAUCGAAUGGAGAGAUUCAUCGUCAGCUCUUAUUGUAUAUAUAUAAUUUAUGAUACGAGUUACCUUUGUUGUAUUGCUUGUACAUAAUUGUAUAUUUAAUUGCAAUUUGUUGUCGGCGUGCACUUCUCUCCUAGUAGAACAUCGCGACCCGUUGAGUGUUGGUCUAUGAUCUAUAUGGAUAGACUUUAAUGUCUAAUAAACAUUAAAGACCAUUUGUGUCAUCUGACCAGCUGCUUGGCGGUAUUCUUAAGGUAUUUAGCCGCAUAUUUAUAUGCGUCCAUAUUCGUCGCAAGUAAGGAUAGUUUCUUGGUAGUACGGACAUAGUGCCGUCGCUGGUACUAUCCUACUGUUAGCUGUUACGAAAUUCUAGGACUGGCUAAAAAUAUAAUUAUUACCGGUCAGCGAUGCUACUGCUUUGGGUACUUUCAGGACCCGUCUUGAAACACGGACCAAGGAGUCUAACAUGUACGCGAGUCAUUGGGAUUUUUUUAAAAAAUUAAACCUAAAGGCGUAAUGAAAGUAAAGGUCGUCCUUGUGUCGACUAAAGGAGGAUAAAUUAUGUUAUGAUGUAAUUUCGCACUCCUGGGGCGUCUCAUUCUCAUUAUGAGAAGAGGCGCACCUAG
Molecule: ribosomal RNA, 639 nt
Filed under: Pedinotus sp. 4 AZR-2016
Lineage: Eukaryota; Metazoa; Arthropoda; Insecta; Hymenoptera; Braconidae
Description: eukaryotic LSU rRNA
Rfam family: Eukaryotic large subunit ribosomal RNA
Source: RNAcentral